GUCUGUCUGUUUUAUAUGGAAAGUCUGGCCUGCCCACUGAGUUAUUGAAGGGCCGCGGUAAUUUGACCGUGCGAAGGUAGCAUAAUCAGUAGUCUUUUAAUUGGAGGCUUGUAUGAAUGGUUGGAUGAGGGACAUUCUGUCUUUUUUUUAUAUGUAGAAUUUAACUUUUAAGUGAAAAGGCUUAAAUUUAUUGGUGGGACGAUAAGACCCUAUAAAACUUUAUAUAUUUUAUUUUUGAUUGAUAAUUGGUUUUAACUUAAUUUAGAAUGAUUUGUAUUUCGUUGGGGAAAUGUUGAUAUAAAUUGUAAUUGUUUGUAGAAUUUAAUAGUUAUUACUAGAUUUUGAUCCUUUAUUAUGGAUUAUAAGUUUAAGUUACUUUAGGGAUAACAGCGUAAUUUUCUUUGAGAGUUCUUAUCGACAAGAGUAGUUGCGACCUCGAUGUUGAAUUAAAAUUUUAAGCUGGUGUAGUAGUUAGCUUUAUAGGUCUGUUCGACCUUUGAAAUUUUACAUGAUUUGAGUUCAAACCGGUGUGAG
Molecule: ribosomal RNA, 534 nt
Filed under: Periclimenaeus calmani
Lineage: Eukaryota; Metazoa; Arthropoda; Malacostraca; Decapoda; Palaemonidae
Also listed under: 1 other name
Description: partial large subunit ribosomal RNA
Rfam family: Bacterial large subunit ribosomal RNA
Source: RNAcentral